GGUGGAUCUUCUCGUAUUGUCUUCAGGACAGGCGAGUGCAAUGCAUUUCCUGGCCACCAGCCCUCAUGGGCUCACAUUGGGUGCUGGUGGCACACUCACACAUCCCCGUAGCUGGGACUGAGAUUUCUCCUUUCAUACAUUAUUCACAGCUUGCAGCAAUGAGUGCUUCCGCAGUCUUUUAACCUUAUCCAAAUGUAACCUCGCAUUCACAAUUAUACAUAACUUGGAAGAAGCAUGCUGUACCAUAAAAAGUUGCCUUCUGGGGAAUUUGUUGUUGUUGGGCUUGAGCUUAAACUAAAAUGGCUUAGACGGAAAAUUAGUGAACAACAACAUUUCUCCACUUUCUUUUGCAUAACAGCUGGGAGGAAUCGGUUCAUUCUACAAGCCCGGGGUGCGCCGGCCAGCUGGCAGGAGUGCUCCAGAGCCAGGGUGCCAGAUCCCAAACAGCUGCAUCACUGCUCAUCCAUCUGUAGCACACACCAUAUGCCAAACCCCAAACCUGGACGCCCACAUGAUUUAGAAUUGGUGCAAAAUAGUAAGGGAGCAGUGUUCUUGAUUGACUUCAGGAAACCGUUUCUCAGAUGGCAAGGCUCCAGUGGCCAUGGGAAGAUGGAAUGGCACUCCGUGGUCACUCAGAAAUGGCAGUGCUGACCUCCAAUGCAGAUUCCAGGCCAUGUUUGGAGCUGGGGUGAGUCCUUUGUGAAAACACAUUGCCAUUCUGUUGACUUCACUUGGCAUGGCUCUCAUUGUCAUUCUGGUAAUGGUGACGGGAAUACAAUAUCUUCAUUGUACUUUUUUUUUCUCUGUAUCUACCUUUGACCUUGAUUUCUAAGUUUCUUCCAUUAUUUUGAAUACAAGUAUUUUGUGUUUACAAACUACUUCACAGUUUAUAAUUCCUAUUUAUAAAAUAUUUUAUUGAAAGACACACUCAGUGCAGG
Molecule: long non-coding RNA, 938 nt
Filed under: Papio anubis (olive baboon)
Lineage: Eukaryota; Metazoa; Chordata; Mammalia; Primates; Cercopithecidae
Description: lncRNA (ENSPANG00000038591.1)
Source: RNAcentral